GAUGAACGCUGGCGGCGUGCCUAAUACAUGCAAGUCGAGCGAACAGACGGGGAGCUUGCUCCUUCGACGUUAGCGGCGGACGGGUGAGUAACACGUAGGUAACCUACCUAUAAGACUGGGAUAACUUCGGGAAACCGGAGCUAAUACCGGAUAAUAUUUCGAACCGCAUGGUUCGACAGUGAAAGAUGGCUUUGCUAUCACUUAUAGAUGGACCUGCGCCGUAUUAGCUAGUUGGUAAGGUAACGGCUUACCAAGGCAACGAUACGUAGCCGACCUGAGAGGGUGAUCGGCCACACUGGAACUGAGACACGGUCCAGACUCCUACGGGAGGCAGCAGUAGGGAAUCUUCCGCAAUGGGCGAAAGCCUGACGGAGCAACGCCGCGUGAGUGAUGAAGGUCUUCGGAUCGUAAAACUCUGUUAUUAGGGAAGAACAAACGUGUAAGUAACUGUGCACGUCUUGACGGUACCUAAUCAGAAAGCCACGGCUAACUACGU
Molecule: ribosomal RNA, 496 nt
Filed under: uncultured bacterium
Lineage: Bacteria
Description: partial 16S ribosomal RNA
Rfam family: Bacterial small subunit ribosomal RNA
Source: RNAcentral